Long non-coding RNA from Arvicola amphibius (Eurasian water vole), 2110 nucleotides. RefSeq lists it as uncharacterized. NCBI's taxonomy places the organism in Eukaryota, Metazoa, Chordata, Mammalia, Rodentia, Cricetidae. The record is from RefSeq and is a predicted model, not a curated record. The transcript has 13 exons.
CUAGACAGCCCACCUCCCUUUUAAUUCUCUGUCCCAGCUACAUCUGAUUGCUCAUUAUUUUACAGAUAAGAGGAUGAUGAGGGGGUCAAGGAUUUGCCCAAGAUCGGCUAGUAAGCAGGACCCGGGGCUCCAACCCAGGGCUGAUUAUUCUCAGAAGAUUUUACCCUAUUCUCAGCAUCUAGACCUGGAACAGAACGGGAGCGAGGAUGUCUGGUGCCUAGUCAUAUCCACACCCGAGGAGUGUCCACGUGUGCACAGCUGGCGGCUCGGGCUCGAGUGGAGGCCCUAAUAUGAAUGGAGACCUAGUCUGCUAGUUGAGACCUUGGCAGUGACCACUGUGGGCAAUGAGCCAUCGACCAACAAUUCUAUGUGAGCCUGUCUCUAAUAUUGAAGAUUUAUAUAUCUUAAUGGACAAGAACCACAAAGGUUCAAUGAUGUGCUCCUCAUAGUGCCUGGAUGAUCCUGAGCCUCUGUGGGGCAGGAAGAAAGGGAUUCAGUUCAUGCUUGACUUCAGCAAGUGGAUGCGCCCCCUCCAACUGAAUCAUCCUGGAACAUCAAAGGUCUCAGUUUUUACCUCUGUGGGUAAGGAAAGAAGAGAUUAAUGACCCCUGAUUUAAUUAUUUAAUAUGGAAUCAUUGUCCUGAGUAAGGAGCAUAGAUGAGAAUAAAGAAUGAGCACAGCUGGUAUGGCUUCAUGGCUACCUUCUGAGGAAGAUCAUGCCUGUGUACCUCUGGAAACCAUUGCUCAUCCCUCAGAAGCAAUGGCUUUGGUCUGCUUUAAACACGGGACCCCGCUCACAAACUCUACACUUUUUCUCGGUAUUUACAUGAAGACCCCCAAAACCUGUGUGAGUAAUAUUUAAAUGCAUUGCUUUUCUCAAUGGGAUGCUCUGUGUUAUUAUAGAGUAUCAGAUAAUGAUAUCUGAGCAAAAGAUUCGGUUGUUCUGAAGAACACACAGCCAUAGACACGCAUUGCUAGAGAGGAUGAAGGCUCACAUGGACCGAUGAUGACAAGGGUCAGCACUAUAAGUCACUGACGAUGACUACAAUAUUUCUGUCUGAGGUUCACAUCACAACACAUCUCAGGUGCUCCCCUCCGUUAGCCAGGAAACAGAAGUUCUGCCUGUGCGGCACGCACUGGGCAUUAGAGUCAGACCCUGUCAUGCAUGUUCUUUUCUCAGUGGAUCGAUGAAAGGCGAUACAAAUACACACACAAAUGCAAAUGUAAAGGAAUAUUUUGAGACAUUGAUCAAUUAGAAAAUAAAUAUUUGACCACAAAUUCAGCUACUACAUGUGGAAAAUAUGGAAGUCUGUUAAGAUUAACUGGCAUAAAGAUUAUAUAAAAUUUAUCCAAGUUCACAUGUGAAGUGGAAUUAAUGAAUUAAGCCCCAGUAUGGGUUAACACCUUAAUUUUAAUUUUGAGUCUUACUUGAUUUCUCAAGACACCAUCCAAACAACCUGAAUCCUAAAUAACAAAUAGUGAAAGGAGAAAUGUAGACAUAAUUUGAAAAAUAUCACAUCUUUUUAUAUUUUUUCCUGCUUUGUACUCUCUGGAUGGAUGAUUGUUUCCUGGCUGGGAGGUCCAUGGCUUUCCUAACCUAAGAUCAAGGGAACUGAUAAUGGAUUCCGCCCCCAAGCGGAUUUUUCACUCUCCCUUUGCCCGUGAGCCUCAUAAUGAGCUGUUUUAGGCUGUCAUGCAGACACAGUAAUAGAUACCCUGCAAGCUGAUUUUAUACAGUCUCACCUGAAACUGAACCUUGUGCUCCAGCUUCUGUGCUCGCAGGAUAGACACCGUAAUGGCUGUCCUAAGCUGAUGUAUAAAUUCUUCCUUGGUUGUGAGAUUCCUGCUCUAAUCCUUGUAGUCCUAAGAUAGACACAGUUGCAUGUAGUCAGUGUUCAUGCCUUGAACUUGGUACUUUUAAAGACUACGCACACUAUUGUUGAAAUACUACUCGCCCUCUGGAAGACCGACUGUGUCCAAAUGAGUGGAGCUACCAGGCUGAUCUUUGGUCAUGCGCAAUAUAGACACAGUGUGAGUACAGUCCAUGUUCUUCUCUUAGUUUUGUGUGCUUUGCACAACAGUUCACUGUAUUGAUAAAGGAUUGUUAUCC